This 464-nucleotide ribosomal RNA is filed under the name Evtepia gabavorous. RNAcentral's name for it is "bacterial SSU rRNA". It matches the Rfam family "Bacterial small subunit ribosomal RNA", at positions 778 to 1245 of the family's 1533-position model. The record is from RNAcentral. Lineage: Bacteria; Bacillati; Bacillota; Clostridia; Eubacteriales.
UUAGAUACCCUGGUAGUCCACGCUGUAAACGAUGGAUACUAGGUGUGGGGGGACUGACCCCUUCCGUGCCGCAGUUAACACAAUAAGUAUCCCACCUGGGGAGUACGAUCGCAAGGUUGAAACUCAAAGGAAUUGACGGGGGCCCGCACAAGCGGUGGAGUAUGUGGUUUAAUUCGAAGCAACGCGAAGAACCUUACCAGGGCUUGACAUCCCACGGCUGGAAUUAGAGAUAGUUCUUUCUCUUCGGAGACUGUGGUGACAGGUGGUGCAUGGUUGUCGUCAGCUCGUGUCGUGAGAUGUUGGGUUAAGUCCCGCAACGAGCGCAACCCCUAUUGUUAGUUGCUACGCAAGAGCACUCUAGCGAGACUGCCGUUGACAAAACGGAGGAAGGUGGGGACGACGUCAAAUCAUCAUGCCCCUUAUGUCCUGGGCUACACACGUACUACAAUGGCGGUAAACAGAGG